This 278-nucleotide ribosomal RNA is filed under the name Glomeromycota sp. RNAcentral's name for it is "partial small subunit ribosomal RNA". It matches the Rfam family "Eukaryotic small subunit ribosomal RNA", at positions 569 to 849 of the family's 1831-position model. The record is from RNAcentral. Lineage: Eukaryota; Fungi; Glomeromycota.
AGCAGCCGCGGUAAUUCCAGCUCCAAUAGCGUAUAUUAAAGUUGUUGCAGUUAAAAAGCUCGUAGUUGAACUUCGGGGUUCACCCAUUGGUCAGGCUUAAUUGUCUGUACUGGUGAGAUGAGUCUCUACCUUCUGAGGAACUUUCAUGCCAUUUAUUUGGUGUGAUUGGAAAUCAGGACUGUUACUUUGAAAAAAUUAGAGUGUUUAAAGCAGGCUAACGUCUGAAUACAUUAGCAUGGAAUAAUGAAAUAGGACGGACUGAUUCUAUUUCGUUGGUU